Nycticebus coucang (slow loris) is the source of this 414-nucleotide long non-coding RNA. RefSeq lists it as uncharacterized. Lineage: Eukaryota; Metazoa; Chordata; Mammalia; Primates; Lorisidae. The transcript is spliced from 3 exons. The record is from RefSeq and is a predicted model, not a curated record.
GGGAAGAAUGCGGUCCUAAAAACCAGGCGAAGAAAGGCAGUUGUGAAUUUGGGAUCCUCACCUCGGGCCUUGCGCCGAGUCUCCUGGUCACCGAGGCUGGGUGGCUUCUCCAUGGAGCUCAGGAUGGAGCCCAGUAGAAAGACAAAGGAGUCAGAGGGGACUGGUGGAUCAGAGGUGGUGGCAGGGCGAAGACUUGGGGAGAGAAGCCACGAGUACCUGUGUCGGCAGCGCCGCAGGAAUCUCAUGAUCUUCCGAGCUGCCUGGUCCUGCUUCUUGACCACCUCCCUUCUCAUGGAAGUACCUGAAUUGGAGGAGCAUCAGGACCCUGGUGAGGUGCCCGACCAGCUGCUGCAAUUUCUGCCAUCCUCUUCUCCAUCUGCUCCAGUCGCUCCAGUAUGGACAUCCGGAACUGGU